RNAcentral lists this ribosomal RNA (468 nucleotides) under uncultured bacterium. Its description in RNAcentral is "partial 16S ribosomal RNA". It matches the Rfam family "Bacterial small subunit ribosomal RNA", at positions 28 to 507 of the family's 1533-position model. The record is from RNAcentral.
GACGAACGCUGGCGGCGUGCUUAACACAUGCAAGUCGAACGGAAAGGCCCUGCUUUUGUGGGGUGCUAGAGUGGCGAACGGGUGAGUAACACGUGAGUAACCUGCCCUGGACUUUGGGAUAACUUCAGGAAACUGGGGCUAAUACCGGAUAGGAGCACCUGCUGCAUGGUGGGGGUUGGAAAGUUUCGGCGGUUGGGGAUGGACUCGCGGCUUAUCAGCUUGUUGGUGGGGUAGUGGCUUACCAAGGCUUUGACGGGUAGCCGGCCUGAGAGGGUGACCGGCCACAUUGGGACUGAGAUACGGCCCAGACUCCUACGGGAGGCAGCAGUGGGGAAUAUUGCACAAUGGGCGGAAGCCUGAUGCAGCAACGCCGCGUGCGGGAUGACGGCCUUCGGGUUGUAAACCGCUUUCGCCUGUGACGAAGCGUGAGUGACGGUAAUGGGUAAAGAAGCACCGGCUAACUACGUG